GCCUGGAAUACGUUCUUAAAUAAAUGUGGACCACUUUAACGCACGUUUCUCACUUUAUGUUUUUUUGCUAAUGACUUAUGACUUGCUGUGUAUUUUAGAUAAUGCUAUGUAUAUUUAGACUAUGCUUUUUGUCUAAUGAUGUUAGACAAAAAGGAAAUUGGAGCAGUUUUCUUGUUUGAGUUCAAAAUGGGUCAUAAAGCAGCAGAGACAACUCAAAACAUCAGUAACACAUUUGGCCCAGAAACUAAGGAACAUACAGUGCAGUGGUGGCUCAAGAAGUUUUGCAAAGGAGAAGAGAGCCUUGAAGAGGAGGAGCCUGGUGGCGGGCAACCAGAAGCUGACGAUGACCAAUCGAGAGCAAUCAUCAAACUACAGGAAAAAUUUCAGAAGAACUCAGCAUUCACUAUCUACAGUCAUUUGGGUCGUUUGGAAUUUAAUGCAAAUUGGAAAGGUGAAAAAGCUUGAUAAGUGGGUGCCUCAUGAGCUGAGCAAAAAUCAAAAAUUUGUUCUUUUGAAGUGUCUUUUUAUCCCACGCAAGAAUAGCAAACCAUUUCUCAAUGGGAUUGUGACAUGCAAUGAAAAAUGGAUUUUAUACAGCAACCAGCUCAGUGGUUGGACCAAGAAGCAGCUCCAAAGCAGUUCCCAAUGCCAAACUUGCACCAAAAAAAAGGUCAUAGUCACUGUUUGGUAAUCUGCUGCCUGUCUGAUCCACUACGGCUUUCGGAAUCCUGGCAAAACCAUUACAUCUGAGAAAUAUGCUCAGCAAAUUGAUAAGAUGCACCGAAAACUACGCCUGCAGCUGGCAUUGGUCAACAGAAAGGGCCUAGUUUUUCUCCAUGACAACACUUGAUUGCAUGUCACACAACGAACACUUCAAAAGUUGAAGGAAUUGGGCCACAAAGUUUUGCCUCAUCCACCAUUAUACACCUGACCUCUGGCCAACCAGCUACCACUUCUGGCAUCUUGACAACUUUUUGCAGGGAAAACACUUCAGCAGGAUGCAGAAAAUGCUUUCCAAGAGUUCAUUGAAUCCUGAAGCAUGCAUUUUUAUGCUACAGGACAUGGUGUUAUUAUACAAAAUAAAAUAAAGUUAUGGGCUCUGCUCUGUUACCAGUUUCAGACCACUUCCACAAACAUUCCAUCUGUGCCUUUUCACCUCAACCUGUGGGAGAAGUUAGAAUGAUCUCCUGUAAUAGAAGAAGACACCAAAGCUCAGAGCAACUUAAGUAA
Long non-coding RNA from Cebus imitator (Panamanian white-faced capuchin), 1230 nucleotides. RefSeq lists it as uncharacterized. The transcript has 2 exons. The record is from RefSeq and is a predicted model, not a curated record. Lineage: Eukaryota; Metazoa; Chordata; Mammalia; Primates; Cebidae.